AUGUCAAAUUUCACAUGCAUCGUGUUUAUAUAUGCAAUCAGUACAAAUUUGAAAAAGCCCGCGGCAACGCACGGGCAGUGUACUAGUCUUUAUAAAGGAGUAGAUGGUGUUAUUAGACGUUGUGUACCUAAGCAUGAACAGGAACAGAUCCUAUGCAAGUGUCACUCCGAAGCUUAUGGAGGACACCAUGCUGGAGAUAGAACUGCACAUAAGGUAUUGCAAUCUGGUUUUUAUUGGCCUACUCUCUUCAAGGACACCCGUAAGUUUGUCCUAUCUUGUGUUCAAUGUCAAAGAAUUGGUAAUAUUAGUAGACGUCAAGAAAUGCCUAUGAAUUAUUCACUGCUUAUUGAACCAUUUGAUGUUUGGGGCUUUGACUAUAUGGGACCCUUUCCUUUAAUGGUUAUACAUAUAUUCUAG
Molecule: ribosomal RNA, 417 nt
Filed under: Triticum aestivum (bread wheat)
Lineage: Eukaryota; Viridiplantae; Streptophyta; Magnoliopsida; Poales; Poaceae
Description: partial small subunit ribosomal RNA
Source: RNAcentral